UACGUAGGGCGCAAGCGUUAUCCGGAAUUAUUGGGCGUAAAAGAGCUCGUAGGCGGUUUUGUCGCGUCUGCCGUGAAAGUCCGGGGCUCAACUCCGGAUCUGCGGUGGGUACGGGGCAGACUAGAGUGAUGUAGGGGGAGACUGGAAUUCCUGGUGUAGCGGUGAAAAUGCGCAGAUAUCAGGAGGAACACCGGUGGCGAAGGCGGGGUCUCUGGGGCCGAUACUGACGUGAGGAGCGAAAAGCGUGGGGGGAGCGAAACAGG
Molecule: ribosomal RNA, 263 nt
Filed under: uncultured bacterium
Lineage: Bacteria
Description: partial 16S ribosomal RNA
Rfam family: Bacterial small subunit ribosomal RNA
Source: RNAcentral